Molecule: small nuclear RNA, 161 nt
Organism: Talpa occidentalis (Iberian mole)
Lineage: Eukaryota; Metazoa; Chordata; Mammalia; Eulipotyphla; Talpidae
Product: U1 spliceosomal RNA
Exons: 1
Source: RefSeq, a predicted model, not a curated record
ACACUUACUGGCAUGGGAGAUACCACAAUCAGGAAGGAGGUUUUCCCAGAGUGAGUUUCACACAUUGCACUCUGGGUCUGCAGACCCCUGUGACUUACCCAGAUGCAGAACACUCAGUUGCAUCAUUUAUGGUAGUGGGGAACUGUGUUCACCCCUCCUGA